This 308-nucleotide long non-coding RNA is filed under the name Carica papaya (papaya). RNAcentral's name for it is "long non-coding RNA (CPAP_LNC008352)". The record is from RNAcentral. Lineage: Eukaryota; Viridiplantae; Streptophyta; Magnoliopsida; Brassicales; Caricaceae.
GGCGGCGGUGCUCUCGAGUGCGGCGGCUCUCCAGUGAAGUUCGUGUUUUGGUGAUUCGGCUUCGAUCAACCUCGAUCGGCGGUCGGAAAUCUCCCCGGUGCGGCGGCGGGUGGCGGCGGCCGGCGUCUCCGGCGUCUGGUUCGUCUUCUCCGGCGAGGGCAGGCGGCUAGGGUUUUUGUGGUCUGGUGUGGGGGUUCUAUUUAUACCCUUUUGCCUUUUGAUCUCAGCCGUCCAUUUUGUUUUAAUCUAGGCCGUCCGUUUUUUGAUUAAAUCUGGGCCGUCCGUGCGAUUUCAUCUGGGCCGUCCGU